UUGAAGAGUUUGAUCAUGGCUCAGAUUGAACGCUGGCGGCAGGCCUAACACAUGCAAGUCGAGCGGUAGCACAGAGAGCUUGCUCUCGGGUGACGAGCGGCGGACGGGUGAGUAAUGUCUGGGAAACUGCCUGAUGGAGGGGGAUAACUACUGGAAACGGUAGCUAAUACCGCAUAACGUCGCAAGACCAAAGUGGGGGACCUUCGGGCCUCAUGCCAUCAGAUGUGCCCAGAUGGGAUUAGCUAGUAGGUGGGGUAACGGCUCACCUAGGCGACGAUCCCUAGCUGGUCUGAGAGGAUGACCAGCCACACUGGAACUGAGACACGGUCCAGACUCCUACGGGAGGCAGCAGUGGGGAAUAUUGCACAAUGGGCGCAAGCCUGAUGCAGCCAUGCCGCGUGUGUGAAGAAGGCCUUCGGGUUGUAAAGCACUUUCAGCGGGGAGGAAGGCGUUAAGGUUAAUAACCUCAUCGAUUGACGUUACCCGCAGAAGAAGCACCGGCUAACUCCGUGCCAGCAGCCGCGGUAAUACGGAGGGUGCAAGCGUUAAUCGGAAUUACUGGGCGUAAAGCGCACGCAGGCGGUCUGUCAAGUCGGAUGUGAAAUCCCCGGGCUCAACCUGGGAACUGCAUUCGAAACUGGCAGGCUAGAGUCUUGUAGAGGGGGGUAGAAUUCCAGGUGUAGCGGUGAAAUGCGUAGAGAUCUGGAGGAAUACCGGUGGCGAAGGCGGCCCCCUGGACAAAGACUGACGCUCAGGUGCGAAAGCGUGGGGAGCAAACAGGAUUAGAUACCCUGGUAGUCCACGCCGUAAACGAUGUCGAUUUGGAGGUUGUGCCCUUGAGGCGUGGCUUCCGGAGCUAACGCGUUAAAUCGACCGCCUGGGGAGUACGGCCGCAAGGUUAAAACUCAAAUGAAUUGACGGGGGCCCGCACAAGCGGUGGAGCAUGUGGUUUAAUUCGAUGCAACGCGAAGAACCUUACCUGGUCUUGACAUCCACAGAACUUAGCAGAGAUGCUUUGGUGCCUUCGGGAACUGUGAGACAGGUGCUGCAUGGCUGUCGUCAGCUCGUGUUGUGAAAUGUUGGGUUAAGUCCCGCAACGAGCGCAACCCUUAUCCUUUGUUGCCAGCGGUCCGGCCGGGAACUCAAAGGAGACUGCCAGUGAUAAACUGGAGGAAGGUGGGGAUGACGUCAAGUCAUCAUGGCCCUUACGACCAGGGCUACACACGUGCUACAAUGGCAUAUACAAAGAGAAGCGACCUCGCGAGAGCAAGCGGACCUCAUAAAGUAUGUCGUAGUCCGGAUUGGAGUCUGCAACUCGACUCCAUGAAGUCGGAAUCGCUAGUAAUCGUAGAUCAGAAUGCUACGGUGAAUACGUUCCCGGGCCUUGUACACACCGCCCGUCACACCAUGGGAGUGGGUUGCAAAAGAAGUAGGUAGCUUAACCUUCGGGAGGGCGCUUACCACUUUGUGAUUCAUGACUGGGGUGAAGUCGUAACAAGGUAACCGUAGGGGAACCUGCGGUUGGAUCACCUCCU
RNAcentral lists this ribosomal RNA (1535 nucleotides) under Klebsiella pneumoniae. RNAcentral's name for it is "bacterial SSU rRNA". It matches the Rfam family "Bacterial small subunit ribosomal RNA". Lineage: Bacteria; Pseudomonadati; Pseudomonadota; Gammaproteobacteria; Enterobacterales; Enterobacteriaceae. The record is from RNAcentral.